UACAGGGGGUGCAAACGUUGCUCGGAAUCAUUGGGCGUAAAGCGCACGUAGGCGGUCUGUUAUGUCGGAUGUUAAAGCCCUUGGCUCAACUGAGGAAGUGCAUCCGAAACUGGCAGGCUAGAGUACUAAAGAGGAUCGCGGAAUUCCCGGUGUAGAGGUGAAAUUCGUAGAUAUCGGGAGGAACACCGGUGGCGAAGGCGGCGAUCUGGGUAGAUACUGACGCUGAGGUGCGAAAGCGUGGGGAGCAAACAGG
Molecule: ribosomal RNA, 253 nt
Filed under: uncultured bacterium
Lineage: Bacteria
Description: partial 16S ribosomal RNA
Rfam family: Bacterial small subunit ribosomal RNA
Source: RNAcentral